RNAcentral lists this ribosomal RNA (460 nucleotides) under uncultured bacterium. RNAcentral describes it as "partial 16S ribosomal RNA". It matches the Rfam family "Bacterial small subunit ribosomal RNA", at positions 338 to 795 of the family's 1533-position model. The record is from RNAcentral.
CCUACGGGAGGCAGCAGUGAGGAAUAUUGGUCAAUGGGCUUACGCCUGAACCAGCCAAGUCGCGUGAGGGAAGACUGCCCUAUGGGUUGUAAACCUCUUUUGUCAGGGAGCAAUUGGCGCUACGUGUAGCGUUAUCAAGAGUACCUGAAGAAAAAGCAUCGGCUAACUCCGUGCCAGCAGCCGCGGUAAUACGGAGGAUGCGAGCGUUAUCCGGAUUUAUUGGGUUUAAAGGGUGCGUAGGCGGAAUGCCAAGUCAGCGGUAAAAUCGCGGGGCUCAACCUCGCUCCGCCGUUGAAACUGGAGGUCUUGAGUGGGCGAGAGGUAUGCGGAAGGCGUGGUGUAGCGGUGAAAUGCAUAGAUAUCACGCAGAACUCCGAUUGCGAAGGCAGCAUACCGGCGCCCAACUGACGCUGAAGCACGAAAGCGUGGGUAUCGAACAGGAUUAGAUACCCGAGUAGUC